UUUGACAGACAAGGGGAAGUCCACAAGAAACUCCCAGUGGCACAUUGACUGGAAACACUACUGGGAUCCACGACUUAGCUUGUCUGCCCUUUCGGAGGAAGAAACUAGCGAGGCUAACUCCCUUGGAUGUGCACAGUGACUUCUGUACAUUCUAGCGGGAGGAUCCACCCUUGUGGAUUGUCGCAGCAAGCCUCAAUCAUAGACCGCGUGGAAUGUGAGAAGGGGGGUUAGGUAGAGGGCGUGGAGUGCAGUCUGCUGUCCGGAUUUGGGAGACCACGCUGAACCCAC
RNAcentral lists this long non-coding RNA (288 nucleotides) under Spirodela polyrhiza (greater duckweed). RNAcentral describes it as "long non-coding RNA (SPOL_LNC002249)". The record is from RNAcentral. Lineage: Eukaryota; Viridiplantae; Streptophyta; Magnoliopsida; Alismatales; Araceae.